Molecule: transfer RNA, 76 nt
Filed under: Nitrospirae bacterium 13_2_20CM_2_61_4
Lineage: Bacteria; Pseudomonadati; Nitrospirota
Also listed under: 1 other name
Description: tRNA-His
Rfam family: tRNA
About the family: Transfer RNA (tRNA) molecules are approximately 80 nucleotides in length. Their secondary structure includes four short double-helical elements and three loops (D, anti-codon, and T loops).
Source: RNAcentral
GUGGGUGUAGCUCAAUGGCUAGAGCGCCGGACUGUGGCUCCGGAGGUUGGGGGUUCGAAACCCCUCAUCCACCCCA